AGUCUAAACGCAUUUAGAUGUCCAAAUUAUUUUGCUAAAUGAUUCUCUUUCAUGAAAUGAUCUAUGAUAUAUUAUAACAAAAAUUUAUUUGCAAGCCAAAAUUAUUGUGAUGAUAUUUUAUGAAUAUGAUAUAAAUUUUCUAUUCACAUAUGCAAUUAAGGUAAUUUAUGGUAAGUUGUAAAGGGCUACGUCUUGAAAUUGUGUGGGGCCACCUCUUAAAGGCCAAUGUGUCACGAAGUGGCACAUACAUUACAAAGUGUCAUGUGCAGAUUGUUAUACAAUUAAAAGAUAAAUUUAGAUGUUUUACCUCACUGUCCAUGGUUAUUUUGAUUUUGAUUAUAUAGUACGAUAUAAAUAUUCUAGAACAAUAGUAGGUUUUUAUUCUAAGUGUGCACAUGAUAUUCUAAUGGUGAUUUUGCUUCUGUCCAGUCAUCAGGAGUAUAAGUGAUAUAAUAUGACAUGAGCUAACCUUUUGUUUUUUGUGUAUAUAUAUUAUAGAUUUGUUUUCAUGAUUAAUUAUACUUUUGAUAUUUUGAAUCACUUAUGAAUUUAUGUUUUUUAGUUAUAAUAUGUCAUGUUGUAAAACUUAUGUGAUACUUUCCGUACUCGAUAAAUGUGAUGUGUUGGAAUAAUUUUACUUACCAAGUUAACUACUCACAUUUUGUCGUUAUUUUUUGCAUAUUGAGUAACUUGUUGAGAGGUGUACUUAUUUUUAGAACUAACAUUUUAUUUGCUUUUGCUAGUUGAAUAAGAGAAUGAUGAACUUUUGUUUCCUUUAAGUUUGUUUAUCUUCUUAAAAUUGCAAGUGGAGACUUUUAAGGUUUUUGUUAUAUUUAUGACUUUGGAAGAAAAUAUUUAGUGUUGGAUUUGUGGAUUUGUAGAUUUUUUUUGAAAAAAAAAAUUAAGAUAUUUCAGUUUAAGAGUUUUGUGUAAGAAUUAUAAUUUGUAAGUAACCUCAUUUACCCGCAUAUAUUAGAUUUGGGAUGUUAUAGUAAAUGUGCAAAUAAUGGCAAAUGCAAGCCAUUAUUACAAUAAUAGCUUACAUUUGAGAGAGAGAAAAAAAAAUUGAGAGGAAAAAUAAAUAUGCUGAUUUAAAAGAUGUAUUUCAUGAAGUUAUAACUAUCAAUUUCUUUGAAUAAAGUCACUACAUAAAUUGGUUAUGUAUCCUCUCCAAGCCAAUCUACUAGUUAUAGUGCAUCAAGGUCCAUAUGUUUUUCAAAAAUGUAUGGCACGUGGAUGUUUAGCGCGUGGAUGUAAUUGCAACUACUGAAAUUUAGGAAGAAGAAAGUGCGAAGGCUAUUUUUGUAAUUAUGGUGGGUGUUUGUCGAAAUAUUUUAAGGAUGAAGCUAUUUGAGCCCACUAGAAAACUCAUUAGACCCAUCUUUUAAUGAAGAUUUUUAUUACUAAUUUAUCCCCAAUGCAAAUUAUAAUUAUAAACAAGGUAAUACGGUUAAAAAAAAAAUUCUCCCAUCUCCUCUGCAUUGACCUCUCACUUUGGUCAAUGGGGAUUCAAACAAUUGGAAUUACAAAGCGUGAAUUUAUCAAUUUAAGGGAUGUCCUUUACCAAGGAAAGAAGGACAAUGCAAGAGGAACAAAAGUUAUUUGCCCGAUUUGCCUUUGAUUCUUAGUUUAAACGUGAAGCAAUUUGAUUUGAUUUUUAUUUCAUCUUUAAUGUUAAUAGAAUAAAGAUUGAAGUCGUAUUUGACCAAGCAAAAUUGGCCGGAAAAGACCUUCCUAGCCCACUUUCAUGGGAUUUCAGAAGUGAAUUCCCAGUUUUUGGUCAAGAAUUUUGUAUACAGAAAGAAAAAUAGUUGGUGGGGUAGAGAUUUUUUUAUUUACUGUGGUUUACCUAAUCUUAGAUUUAUAAAAAUACAUGCAAAAUUUUAUGGAAAAGAAAAUUAGUAAAGUGAGAGUGAAAACUUCACAUAUGGAUAUGCUGAAGACAAAUCCAAAAACAAUUAGAGAUGAGAGAAAAGGUUGAAGAAAUCAUCAAUAAAAAAUUGUAUAAAUUAUGAUAAAUUAACUGAUAAGGGUAUGAUAGGCAUUAAGAUGGGUCUACAGAAAAAAAAAACAAAAUUUGAUGAUAGAUCUAUUAAGAAAAUGGAUUUAAGAAGUAUUUUGGUGGGUUCAAAUAACUCUACUCAUAUUUUAAUUGGUCAUAUUUAUAAAUGGAGUUUAUUUAAUGGUGACGUGUUCGCAGGAUAUUAGUAGCGUACUAGCGUGCUAGGAGAUCGAAAAGGAAAGAGGAAAAAAACCUGUAUUGGGUCUCAGUCAUGCUUGGAUUUCCCCGACAUUUGAUCCGCUUGUUAAAAUGGGCUGGCCCAAUAAUUGGACAUAGAGAACUAACUCUGCAUGCCACUCAUGACAUCAGUCUUUAACACAAAAUAAAAUGAGUUGGACUAUUAGCACCCCUCUAAAAUCUUUUUAAAACCACUAUUUUAUUACAAUUACAUUUAAAGAUAAAUACUCUAAUAUAUUUCACG
This 2483-nucleotide long non-coding RNA is filed under the name Citrus x clementina. RNAcentral describes it as "Citrus clementina (C. clementina) long non-coding RNA (CCLE_LNC000710)". Lineage: Eukaryota; Viridiplantae; Streptophyta; Magnoliopsida; Sapindales; Rutaceae. The record is from RNAcentral.